Non-coding RNA from Pantherophis guttatus, 308 nucleotides. NCBI's taxonomy places the organism in Eukaryota, Metazoa, Chordata, Lepidosauria, Squamata, Colubridae. The record is from RefSeq and is a predicted model, not a curated record.
UGUCUGUUGAAUGUCUUCCAGAGACAAAACUCCCUUUCCCCACCGAAGCUGUCAUCGCUGCCGGGGUGGUCCUGUCACUCAUCGUUCUCUUCAGUUUUGCAGUUCGAUGGAAGAAGAUCGUACAGUGUUUCAAGAAAACCGAUCCUGCGAGCCACACCGCCCUGUAAAGGAAUUCUUACUCUGGAGCAACCUCUUAGCUGACCCGUGUGGCUUCAGAUGGCCAAUCUUUCCUCUCUGCAAGGAAACUCUUAGCGCCGUUGAACCGUUGCUUUGAUUUCGAACUUUAAAUAAAUCAAAUUUAUAACUUA